CCUACGGGAGGCAGCAGUGGGGAAUAUUGCACAAUGGGGGAAACCCUGAUGCAGCAACGCCGCGUGAAGGAAGACGGUUUUCGGAUUGUAAACUUCUGUUCUUAGUGAAGAAUAAUGCCGUUAGCUAAUGAGCAAGCCACGGCUACCUACGUGCCAGCAGCCGCGGUAAUACGUAGGUGGCAAGCGUUGUCCGGAAUUACUGGGUGUAAAGGGAGCGCAGGCGGGAAGCCAAGUCAGCUGUGAAAACGACGGGCUUAACUUGUAGACUGCAGUUGAAACUGGUUUUCUUGAGUGAAGUAGGGGUUGGCGGAAUUCCGAGUGUAGCGGUGAAAUGCGUAGAUAUUAGGAGGAACACCAGUGGCGAAGGCGGCCAACUGGGCUGUAACUGACGCUGAGGCUCGAAAGUGUGGGGAGCAAACAGGAUUAGAUACCCUAGUAGUC
This 441-nucleotide ribosomal RNA is filed under the name uncultured bacterium. RNAcentral describes it as "partial 16S ribosomal RNA". It matches the Rfam family "Bacterial small subunit ribosomal RNA", at positions 338 to 795 of the family's 1533-position model. The record is from RNAcentral.